GUUUUCCUGCCUCCUCUUAAUUGCUGCUGGGAGAGUCCAGUCUUGAAUUAGUAUCUAAUCUGGACCGCUUUCCUUAAAGCUGAUUACUUGGAGGCCAGAAGAUGGCAGCUCUGGAGAACUACUGACAUGGCAUCUGAGCAUUUCUUUACUGAGGUGGCAUACCUUGCCCCAGAAAAAUCAGAAGCAUUUACAGUGCACAAAUAUACUAAGAGCCUUGCCAAGCCUCCAGAGAUGAACAGUAUAUGCCCUAGAUCUUCAAGGAGAUGCUGAACUCACUGGUACCACAGAGGAUGAGGGAAAAGAAAGAGUCCAAGGGAACAGAGAGAAAGACGAAUGUAAAAAUGUGCACUUAACAACUUCCAAAUUCUGAGACAACUGCCUUCACAGUUUCAACUGGAAAUACACCUUUACUAGUCCAGCAAUCUUCAAGGACUGGGCCAAGGAGAAAGAGCUCCUGGGAAUCACAAUUUUGCUGCUCAUCCUUUAAGAAACCCCAGUUUAAGUGGAAGUUAAUACAGAGAUUUCUCAGUCACAGAGUCAGCUUUUAAUAUGUGCAAAGUCUGUGUUGGUUUGGAAAACUUUGCCCUUGUAUCAAUAGCAGCUUUUGUAACCAACUUCAAUGGCUCUCUACAUUCUUGUCUUUAAGCAGUAAAUUGGAAAUAAAUGAUAAUACACUGGUUUUAAAGACAAAGAAACAUAAAUCAUGCUACUCAAUCUCUAUCAGUUCAUGCAAUCUUUUGGGAAUUUUUGUUUAGAUUUGAAAUUUUUGUGAGUCAGAGGACUGCCUUUA
Molecule: long non-coding RNA, 790 nt
Organism: Heterocephalus glaber (naked mole-rat)
Lineage: Eukaryota; Metazoa; Chordata; Mammalia; Rodentia; Bathyergidae
Source: RefSeq, a predicted model, not a curated record